GCCCGGCUGGCUCAGGUGGUGGAGCAUGUGAUUCUUGAUCUCAGGGUUGUGAGUUUGAGCCUCCUGUUGAGCA
RNAcentral lists this transfer RNA (73 nucleotides) under Canis lupus familiaris (dog). It matches the Rfam family "tRNA". Rfam says of the family: Transfer RNA (tRNA) molecules are approximately 80 nucleotides in length. RNAcentral also lists the same sequence under 1 other name. Lineage: Eukaryota; Metazoa; Chordata; Mammalia; Carnivora; Canidae. The record is from Rfam by way of RNAcentral.